This 496-nucleotide ribosomal RNA is filed under the name uncultured bacterium. RNAcentral's name for it is "partial 16S ribosomal RNA". It matches the Rfam family "Bacterial small subunit ribosomal RNA", at positions 29 to 507 of the family's 1533-position model. The record is from RNAcentral.
AUGAACGCUGGCGGCGUGCCUAAUACAUGCAAGUCGAGCGAACAGAUGAGGAGCUUGCUCCUCUGACGUUAGCGGCGGACGGGUGAGUAACACGUGGAUAACCUACCUAUAAGACUGGGAUAACUUCGGGAAACCGGAGCUAAUACCGGAUAAUAUAUUGAACCGCAUGGUUCAAUAGUGAAAGACGGUUUUGCUGUCACUUAUAGAUGGAUCCGCGCCGCAUUAGCUAGUUGGUAAGGUAACGGCUUACCGAGGCAACGAUGCGUAGCCGACCUGAGAGGGUGAUCGCCCACACUGGAACUGGGACACGGUCCAGACUCCUACGGGAGGCAGCAGUAGGGAAUCUUCCGCAAUGGGCGAAAGCAUGACGGAGCAACGCCGCGUGAGUGAUGAAGGUCUUCGGAUCGUAAAACUCUGUUAUUAGGGAAGAACAAAUGUGUAAGUAACUAUGCGCGUCUUGACGGUACCUAAUCAGAAAGCCACGGCUAACUACGUG